CGCCUAGAUGAUGAGGAGAUGGUCUUAUUUAUUCUUGUAGGCCUCGACAUGGAGUACAACCCAUUAGUGUCGUUCAUUAUUGCAUGCACAGAUCAAAUGUAGUUGAGUGAUCUGUACGCUCAACUCCUCAGCUAUGAUC
Molecule: small nucleolar RNA, 139 nt
Organism: Phragmites australis (common reed)
Lineage: Eukaryota; Viridiplantae; Streptophyta; Magnoliopsida; Poales; Poaceae
Product: small nucleolar RNA Z247
Exons: 1
Source: RefSeq, a predicted model, not a curated record